This 517-nucleotide long non-coding RNA is filed under the name Salmo salar (Atlantic salmon). RNAcentral describes it as "lncRNA (ENSSSAG00000082075.1)". Lineage: Eukaryota; Metazoa; Chordata; Actinopteri; Salmoniformes; Salmonidae. The record is from RNAcentral.
UUUCAGAGAAAAGGACCACAAACUGAAAACUUUCCACUUCAUCGAACCAAUCGCUGCUCGUAUGUCCUUUCAUGGUAAAGUACAUCUAGUCAUGAACAAAGAAAUACACAGCAAAGACCUUGUUACUCAAAGACCCAGCUACUCUCUGACAGUCACCAUCACACCAUCAGACCACCAGAUGGACAGGCUGUAUGUCACUCUGAUUGCAUUCUUAUGUGCUGUUUCCUCCAGUCAGUUCAUCCUAACACUGUUCCUCUGCUACCUGUAGGUGCUGUUUCCUCCAGUCAGUUCAUCCUAACACUGUUCCUCUGUUACUUGUAGGUGAUGUUUCCUCCAGUCAGUUCAUCCUCUAUAGUGACUGUAGAACAACAAAUGCAAUGUACACAGUCUGGUUCAGGAAUUGGUCUCAUGAGCACCAGCCUCCUCUUGUUAUUACAUAUGUUAUUACAUAUUAUGAGAACAUCACUGCAUCUGACCUGGGACUCUACUACUGUGCUCCAACUGAGACUCAGGGGAG